Molecule: transfer RNA, 69 nt
Filed under: Merluccius merluccius (European hake)
Lineage: Eukaryota; Metazoa; Chordata; Actinopteri; Gadiformes; Merlucciidae
Description: transfer RNA-His
Rfam family: tRNA
About the family: Transfer RNA (tRNA) molecules are approximately 80 nucleotides in length. Their secondary structure includes four short double-helical elements and three loops (D, anti-codon, and T loops).
Source: RNAcentral
GUAGGCUUAGUUUAAUGAAGACAUUAGAUUGUGAUUCUAAAAAUAGAGGUUAAACCCCUCUAACCCACC